This is a long non-coding RNA of Rhincodon typus (whale shark), 323 nucleotides long. RefSeq lists it as uncharacterized. The transcript has 3 exons. The record is from RefSeq and is a predicted model, not a curated record. Lineage: Eukaryota; Metazoa; Chordata; Chondrichthyes; Orectolobiformes; Rhincodontidae.
GAAGCAAUGGUGACAUAGUUCCAAGUUGGAUGGGAGUUGCAGGCGAUGGCGUUCCCUUGAACCUGCUCCAUGCCUUCAAGGUGCUUUUGAAAGACCUUCGGUGGAGUGUCACACCAGCUGUAUUGCUUUGGAUAAAGACCAAAGAGGAAGUUUGAUCUCCCGCUUUUGGCUUUUCUGUGAUAUUGCGAAGGAAACUGCAUCUUGAUCCAUAAGGUUUGAAAACAUGAAGAGAAUUUUCAAGGCCGAGAAUCACAGGAAACGCCCCUGACACACUUCAGAGCUAUUAACUUAAUGAAAGUCUUUAAUAAUUAAAGAUUUUUUUC